GGGGGCGACCAGGUUUCGACGUGGGUCGCGAAGCAGCACAGGGCAUGCCGAGGACCAGUGACCUCGUAAAUCCAUCUGGAAACACCAUAAACGCCAACGACGAGCGUUUCGCUCUCGCCGCCUAAUACCGGCGAGACGCUGCACUAGCCUGC
This 152-nucleotide transfer-messenger RNA is filed under the name Betaproteobacteria bacterium. RNAcentral's name for it is "partial transfer-messenger RNA". It matches the Rfam family "transfer-messenger RNA", at positions 1 to 162 of the family's 374-position model. From Rfam's summary of the family: Bacterial tmRNA, also known as 10Sa RNA or SsrA, is named for its dual tRNA and mRNA-like properties. Its role is to liberate the mRNA from a stalled ribosome. To accomplish this part of the tmRNA is used as a reading frame that ends in a translation stop signal. The record is from RNAcentral. Lineage: Bacteria; Pseudomonadati; Pseudomonadota; Betaproteobacteria.